AGAGUUUGAUCAUGGCUCAGAUUGAACGCUGGCGGCAUGCUUUACACAUGCAAGUCGAACGGCAGCACGGGCUUCGGCCUGGUGGCGAGUGGCGAACGGGUGAGUAAUGCGUCGGAACGUGCCGAGUAAUGGGGGAUAACGCUUCGAAAGGAGUGCUAAUACCGCAUACGCUCUGAGGAGGAAAGCGGGGGACCUUCGGGCCUCGCGUUAUUCGAGCGGCCGACGUCUGAUUAGCUAGUUGGUGAGGUAAAGGCUCACCAAGGCGACGAUCAGUAGCGGGUCUGAGAGGAUGAUCCGCCACACUGGGACUGAGACACGGCCCAGACUCCUACGGGAGGCAGCAGUGGGGAAUUUUGGACAAUGGGGGGAACCCUGAUCCAGCCAUGCCGCGUGUCUGAAGAAGGCCUUCGGGUUGUAAAGGACUUUUGUCUGGGAGGAAAUCCCUAGCGUUAAUAGCGUUGGGGGAUGACAGUACCGGAAGAAUAAGCACCGGCUAACUACGUGCCAGCAGCCGCGGUAAUACGUAGGGUGCAAGCGUUAAUCGGAAUUACUGGGCGUAAAGGGUGCGCAGGCGGUGACACAAGCCAGAUGUGAAAUCCCCGAGCUUAACUUGGGAACGGCGUUCGGAACUGUGUCGCUAGAGUAUGUCAGAGGGGGGUAGAAUUCCUGGUGUAGCAGUGAAAUGCGUAGAUAUCAGGAGGAAUACCGAUGGCGAAGGCAGCCCCCUGGGAUAAUACUGACGCUCAUGCACGAAAGCGUGGGGAGCAAACAGGA
This 774-nucleotide ribosomal RNA is filed under the name uncultured beta proteobacterium. RNAcentral's name for it is "bacterial SSU rRNA". It matches the Rfam family "Bacterial small subunit ribosomal RNA", at positions 8 to 777 of the family's 1533-position model. The record is from RNAcentral. Lineage: Bacteria; Pseudomonadati; Pseudomonadota; Betaproteobacteria.